CCUACGGGGGGCAGCAGUGGGGGAUAUUGCACAAUGGGGGGAACCCUGAUGCAGCGACGCCGCGUGGGUGAAGGAGCGUUUCGGCGCGUAAAGCUCUAUCGGCAGGGAAGAAGAUGACGGUACCUGGCCAAGAAGCCCCGGCUAACUACGUGCAAGCAGCCGCGGUAAGACGUAGGGGGCAAGCGUUAUCCGGAUGUACUGGGUGUAAAGGGGGCGCAGACGGGAAUGCAAGCCAGGAGUGAAAGCCCGGGGCCCAACCCCGGGACUGCUCUUGGAACUGCAUGGCUGGAGUACAGGAGGGGCAGGCGGAAUUCCUAGUGUAGCGGUGAAAUGCGUAGAUAUUAGGAGGAACACCGGUGGCGAAGGCAGCCUGCUGGACUGUGACUGACGUUGAGGCCCGAAGGCGUGGGGAGCAAACAGGAUUAGAUACCCUUGUAGUC
This 440-nucleotide ribosomal RNA is filed under the name uncultured bacterium. Its description in RNAcentral is "partial 16S ribosomal RNA". It matches the Rfam family "Bacterial small subunit ribosomal RNA", at positions 338 to 795 of the family's 1533-position model. The record is from RNAcentral.